UACGGGGGGAGCAAGCGUUGUUCGGAUUUACUGGGCGUAAAGGGCGCGUAGGCGGCCCCCGCAAGUCGACUGUGAAAUCUCCGGGCUUAACUCGGAAAGGUCAGCCGAUACUGCGGGGCUAGAGUGCAGAAGGGGCAACUGGAAUUCUCGGUGUAGCGGUGAAAUGCGUAGAUAUCGAGAGGAACACCUGCGGCGAAGGCGGGUUGCUGGGCUGACACUGACGCUGAUUGUGCGAAAGCUAGGGGAGCGAACGGG
RNAcentral lists this ribosomal RNA (255 nucleotides) under uncultured bacterium. RNAcentral describes it as "partial 16S ribosomal RNA". It matches the Rfam family "Bacterial small subunit ribosomal RNA", at positions 524 to 776 of the family's 1533-position model. The record is from RNAcentral.